Molecule: long non-coding RNA, 290 nt
Filed under: Mytilus galloprovincialis (Mediterranean mussel)
Lineage: Eukaryota; Metazoa; Mollusca; Bivalvia; Mytilida; Mytilidae
Source: RNAcentral
UUGAGAAAUAUUUAUUUUGGAUGACCGGCAGAUAUCCUUAUUUCUUAAAUUUGGAACUUUGAACAUGAAAUCUCCAAUAGAAACUGGAAGAUGGCAAAACAUAGAAAGAGAAAACAGAAAAUGUGUAUUGUGUAAUUCAGAUUCCAUUGGUGAUGAAUACCAUUACAUUUUUAAUUGUUCAACUUUCGAUAAUUGUAGAAAACAAUAUAUUGCAUUUUACAAUAGAAAUAGAAUAAACACAUUGAAGUUUUAUGACUUAAUGAAUUCCCCAAAAUGUACAGAACUGAACG